UACGUAGGGAGCAAGCGUUGUCCGGAAUCAUUGGGCGUAAAGAGCGUGUAGGCGGUCCUGUAAGUCCGCUGUGAAAGUCAAGGGCUCAACCCUUGAAUGCCGGUGGAUACUGCAGGACUAGAGUCCGGAAGAGGCGAGUGGAAUUCCUGGUGUAGCGGUGAAAUGCGCAGAUAUCAGGAGGAACACCGAUGGCGAAGGCAGCUCGCUGGGACGGUACUGACGCUGAGACGCGAAAGCGUGGGGAGCGAACAGG
RNAcentral lists this ribosomal RNA (253 nucleotides) under uncultured bacterium. Its description in RNAcentral is "partial 16S ribosomal RNA". It matches the Rfam family "Bacterial small subunit ribosomal RNA", at positions 524 to 776 of the family's 1533-position model. The record is from RNAcentral.